CACAUGCAAGUCGUGGGGCAGCGGAUGCUUAGCUUGCUAAGUAUGCCGGCGACCGGCGCACGGGUGAGUAACGCGUACCGAACCUGCCCAUCACACAGGGAUAGGCUUGCGAAAGCAAGAUUAAUACCUGAUGGUCUCAGUUGUAUGCAUGUAUGAUUGAGUAAAGCCUUCGGGCGGUGAUGGAUGGCGGUGCGUCCCAUUAGGAAGUUGGCGGGGUAACGGCCCACCAAUCCUUCGAUGGGUAGGGGUUCUGAGAGGAAGGUCCCCCACAUUGGAACUGAGAUACGGUCCAAACUCCUACGGGAGGCAGCAGUGAGGAAUAUUGGUCAAUGGGCGAGAGCCUGAACCAGCCAAGUAGCGUGCGGGAUGAAGGCCCUUGUGGUCGUAAACCGCUUUUAUCAGUGAAUAAAGUGCACCACGUGUGGUGUCAUUGCAGGUAGCUGAAGAAAAAGGACCGGCUAAUUCCGUGCCAGCAGCCGCGGUAAUACGGAAGGUCCGGGCGUUAUCCGGAAUUAUUGGGUUUAAAGGGAGCGCAGGCGGGAGUGUAAGUCAGCUGUUAAAUAUCAGGGCCCAACUCUGUUAUGCAGUUGAAACUAUAUUUCUUGAGUACGCACAGGGAUGGCGGAAUUCAGGGUGUAGCGGUGAAAUGCUUAGAUAUCCUGAAGAACUCCGAUCGCGAAGGCAGCCAUCCGGAGCGUAACUGACGCUGAGGCUCGAAGGUGCGGGUAUCGAACAGGAUUAGAUACCCUGGUAGUCCGCACGGUAAACGAUGAUACUCGCAGUUCGGUCAUUAUGAUUGAGUGUCCA
RNAcentral lists this ribosomal RNA (807 nucleotides) under uncultured Bacteroidota bacterium. RNAcentral describes it as "bacterial SSU rRNA". It matches the Rfam family "Bacterial small subunit ribosomal RNA", at positions 52 to 849 of the family's 1533-position model. The record is from RNAcentral. Lineage: Bacteria; Pseudomonadati; Bacteroidota.